AAACCCCAAAUCUUUCACUUCUAACCUAUCCUUCCCCCCCACUGCCAACCCACCAUUAUACCCACCGCCAUAACCCCUCUAUUCCCCCUUUACACCCACCUCUCUCACCACCGUAAACCUCCAUUAUCAUCUCAAAUAUCAUCACCCUCAUCACUUCUCACUGUAAGCCCUUUAAACCUCCCUAACCGCCGAUUUGCAUGCUGACCUAACCUUCUUCUUCCACUGAUAACCUUUAUCACCCACCUCACCACCCAUUCUCCUUGUCACCACCGAUUACCCUCAACACUCCACUAUUCACUGCAAGAUAACCCAGUUAUCACCUACUAUCACCGCCGACCACCCUCUUCCUCAUCCCUAUUUCCUUUCCUCUGUUCACCACCGUAAACCCACCUAUCCUUCCCCCCCCCCACUGUACACCGCCAGUACACCUUCUUCCCCCCCAUCCGCCGCCGACCACCUUACCCUACUCCCCUAACCGCCGACAACCUUCCCCCUUUAUCACCCGCCACCGACCGCAGCCGAAACCUUUCUACCACCCAUCAUAGCCGAAACCAUUCUACCACCCAUCACAGCCGAUACCACUUUAAUCCCCACACUUAACCCCCCAUAACCACCACCGUUAUUACAAUCUACUACCCGAUUUCCACCGUCAAAUCCAUCAGAUUUCACCAUAAAAAUCGGAUUUCAUUUUUGGGCUUAAAGGUUCAACCGAAAAAUUUCUCUAUUCUUCUUGUUUCUCUCGAAUCUCAGGUAUGCUUCUUGAUGUCAGGUGAAGGUUCCUCGUCAGGCACCAAACGCAGGUGAGGUGCUUCCACGAGAUCUCAGGGGGCUGUUUAGGAGCAGCCGGCUGAUUUACCACUGAGAGUGGUCAGUUAUCGUGGAGCAGGGUUUGAGAUGAGGAGUAGAUGGUGUGGUUUAAGGAUGAUGCAGCAGUGAUCGAGCAUACCGUUU
RNAcentral lists this long non-coding RNA (951 nucleotides) under Helianthus annuus (common sunflower). The record is from RNAcentral. Lineage: Eukaryota; Viridiplantae; Streptophyta; Magnoliopsida; Asterales; Asteraceae.